AGGAAUAUUGCGCAAUGGGGGCAACCCUGANGCAGCAACGCCGCNNNGACGAUGAAGGCCUUCGGGUNGUAAAAUCCUUUUGUGAGGGAAGAUAAUGACGGUACCUCACGAAUAAGUCCNGGCUAANUACGUGCCAGCAGCCGCGGUAAAACNUAGGGGGCGAGCGUUNUCNNNAUUUACUGGGCGUAAAGCGCANGNGGCGGUACUGUAAGUUGGGCGUGAAAGCUUCCGGCUCAACUGGGAGAGGUCCGUCAAUAAUGCAGUGCUUGAGGUUGGAAGAGGAGAGUGGAAUUCCCGGUGUAGUGGUGGAAAGCGUAGAAAUUGGGAGGAAACCCAGUGGGGAAGGGGGCUCUCUGGUCCACACCUGACGACGAGGUGGGAAAACGGGGGGAGGNNACCGGAUUAGAUACCCCCGUUGUUCCCCCCGUAAACGAUGGAUACUAGGUGUAGGNNNUAUUUACCCUU
RNAcentral lists this ribosomal RNA (465 nucleotides) under uncultured Chloroflexota bacterium. Its description in RNAcentral is "uncultured Chloroflexi bacterium partial 16S ribosomal RNA". It matches the Rfam family "Bacterial small subunit ribosomal RNA", at positions 357 to 840 of the family's 1533-position model. Lineage: Bacteria; Bacillati; Chloroflexota. The record is from RNAcentral.